AGGCCGGGCGGCGCCCGGGGCCGGCCGUGAUUGAUGCGGGGCCGGAGCCGGAGCCGGAGCCAGGGCCCCUGCGGUGGGGGGCGGUGUGGGCGCGCGCACGGCCCUGCGUAGCGGCAUCCGCGGGGCAGUUUUUGGCUGCUGCUUCGCCCGCAAGAGCCAAAGCUUUGUUAGGUUUCUAACACCACCGAUCUCGGUGAAGUUUCCUCGGGAGCGGUGCCGGUGAUGUUAGCCUGCUGUCUGUGCUGCUGAAAUAAUGCAGCAGAAAUGAUAGCCGAGCCCAACGCAGCCACUCACCUUCCCGGCCGAAAAGAGAAUGCUGUUCAUGAUGAGACUGUGCCGGAGUCUGCUGUGCAGAAUGGCAGCUGUGUGAGAAAUGGCAACCUGAAAACACCAAGAGAGAAACGGAAGGUCCGAGAACAGUGUGAAAACAUAAGGAGGAAUUCUUCCAGUAGAAGAAGAGUGAGCCAGCUGCAGAAUGGCGAAGUGGUUGAGGCAGUUACGUUGUUUGAAGUGGUUAGCAUGGGGAAGCGGGCCAUGCAGUCUGUAGUCGAUGACUGGGUUGAAGCUUAUAAACAAGACAGGAACGUGGCACUUCUAGAUCUGAUCAACUUCUUCAUUCAGUGCUCAGGCUGCCAAGGCAUGGUAACAGCAGAGAUGUUUCAAAGUUUGCACAAGAAGGAUGUAAUGCAAAAAAUGACAGAGACCUUUGAUGAGGAAACUGGGUUGCAGUAUAAGAAAUUCAUGGCCUAUCCUUGGAUCCUGACAGUUACUUGGCCGGUGGACAUGGACAAUGAAGACUACCCACUGAUCAGAACAGGACCCUAUUGGAAGAAGUUCAAGGCCAAUUUCUGUGAAUUUAUUGCAGUGUUUGUCCAGCAGUGCCAGUGCAGCAUCCUGUAUGAUAGCUACUUGAUGGACACUGUCAUUUCACUGCUUACAGGCUUAGCGGACUCCAUGGUCAGAGCGUUUAGACACACAAGUACUCUGGCAGCAAUGAAGCUUCUGACAGCGGUUGUUAGUGUACAUCUGAACCUUGAUGUCAACAAGCACAAUGCUCAAAGGUUAUAUGAGGUGGAGAAGAAGAGGAUAAGUGGCAAGAGAACAAAUUACAGACUUGACCAGCUAGAGAAAAAAAGGAAAGAGUAUGAGCAUAAGCUUCUAGAGAUACAGAACAUGAUGAAUGCUAUUUUCAAAAGGACAUUUCUAAACCGUUACCGUGAUGUGAUCCCCGAGAUCCGAGCAACUUGUAUUGAAGAAAUUGGCAGCUGGAUUAAAACAUACCCAGAUGCUUUUCUAAAUGAUAGCUACUUAAAAUACAUGGGGUGGAUGCUGUAUGACAAGCAAGCUGAAGUGCGGUUGAAAUGUCUUCUGGGACUGCAGGGAAUUUAUAGCCAAAAAGAACUUGUUUCCAGGAUGGAUCUCUUUACUAGCAGAUUCAAGGAUCGAAUUGUGUCCAUGCCUCUGGACAAGGACCAUGAAGUAGCAGUUCAAGCCAUGAAACUCUUGAUGCUUAUGUCACAGAACUGUGAGGAUGUGUUAUCAGCUGAAGACUGUGAAAUGUUAUACCAGUUUGUUUAUACCACACACCGUCCGCUUGCAGUAGCAGCUGGGGAAUUCCUUUAUAAAAGGUUGCUUAGUCAUGAGGGAGAUGAAGAAGUUCAGCCCAAAGGAGGAGGGAAGUUUGGGGCAAGUACUGACCAGUUGAAAAGAUUAAUAGGUUUUUUCCUGGAGAGUGAGCUACACAAACAUGUUGCAUACCUCAUCGACAGCUUGUGGGACUGGGCAGGCAAAUUCCUGAAGGACUGGGAGUGCAUGACCACUCUUCUAUUAAAAAAUGCCGAAGAAGAUGGAGAAGCACUGAGUGAUGCCCAUGAAAGUGCUCUCAUUGAAAUUAUCCUCGCAACGGUUAGAGAAGCAGCUGAAGGUCAUCCUCCAGUGGGCAGAGGUGCAGCCAAAAAAAUUCUGUCAGUAAAAGAGAAGAAAAUACAAUUGGAAGAUUGUACCAAAAUUACGGAACACUUUAUUAUGGUGCUUCCUCAGCUCUUGGCAAAGUAUUCAACAGAUGCACAAAAAGUGGCAAAUCUUCUGCAGAUUCCUCAGUAUUACGAUUUAGAUGUUUACAGUACAGGACAUCUAACAAAGCAUCUGGAUGCUUUGCUGAGAGAGGUAAAAGACAUUGUGGCCAAACACUCCGACACAUCUGUCCUUGAGGCUUCCUCCAGGACUUAUUAUAUCCUCUGCAAUGAAGAAAUUGCCAUCUAUAGCCAGGUGGAUCGUGCCCGAACUCAGCUGAUAGAUGAGUUGAUGGGACAGCUUAACCAGCUACUAGAUGGCUUCUGGCAAAAGGAAGAAGGUUUUUGUAUGGAAGCAGGAGAAAUUUCCCAGAUGCACUCUGCUUUGAGAAGAGUAGCAGCUUUUCAUAAUGCCCAUGAUCUCACCAAGUGGAAUCUGUAUGACAAGACUUCAAGGUUGCUGGUGUUUGAAAUGGAACAUGGGAGAUUGCCUGUUCUGAUUAUCCUGCCAGCUCUCCAGUGCAUGUAUUUUUCUCUCCUGUGGCAACUAGCUGCAGUUCCGGAAAAUUCUCCCAAGGAGACUCUUUUUGCACUAAGAGGAGAGCUGAGAUGUUUCAGUCAGAUUUGCAUGUGCUUCCUCCACCAUAAGGAAAAAGAUGUAAGAGAAAAGGCUUUCAUGAUACUCUGUGACUGGUUGCUGAUUUUGAGUCAUCAGGAUUCAAAUAAUAACACAGAAGCAGUUGGACUUCCAGAUUAUCAUCUUAGCACAUCACUUCAGGAAAAACUGCUUUUGUUUAUCCAGGAACAUGUUUUCAUGGUGGAAGAAGAGGAAAGCAAAGACCUGACAGAAGAGAAGGAGAGAAAGGAUGAAAGUUGCAAACUUGAUGACCUGCACAAAAAGCGGAGCCUUCUUGCAGCAUAUUGCAAGUUAAUAGUGUAUAAUGUGGUAAAGAUGACUGCGGCUGCUGAGAUCUAUAAGUAUUAUGUGAAGACCUACAAUGAUUUUGGAGACAUAAUUAAAGAAACAUUAAGCAAGACAAGGCACAACAACAAAAUUCAGAGUGCCAAGACACUGAUUCUCUGUCUGCAGCAGCUGUUUCAGAAACAUGCAGAAAGCCAAGACAGCAGCAGCAGUGUGGACUUCUCUUCUGCUUCCUUCACAAACAUGAAAGAACUUGCUCGUCGCUUUUCACUAACGUUUGGCUGGGACCAAGUGAAAUCCAGAGAAUCUGUAGCCAUGAUACACAAGGAAGGGAUUGAAUUUGCUUUUCAAGGAGCUACUGGAGUAGAAGGAAAAUGCUUGCCUCCUAACUUGAGCUUUCUGUUAAUCAUCAGUGAAUUUUCCAACAAGCUGCUAAAGUCAGACAAAAGACUAGUGUAUGCCUACUUACAGAGGUACAUAGCAGAACCACUGCCUUGCAGAGGAGAUGAAUGGCAGCCACUGAUUUGGUACAGAAACUCUUUAUUGGCAAAUGAAGAUGAGGAGAGCUCUGUCCUUAGCAGUUCAGGAGAAUGGUCCCCUGCGGGCACAUCCAGGACAUCUUUUAAAAGGAAAUUCUCCAGUGGGUCUUUGCCUGAAACCAGCCAGACUGAAGCAACAAGCAAAGCUCCAGAGCUGCAGUGUGCUUCCCAGCUGGCCUCUGCAGCAGGCAAAAGCAGAAAGAGGCUGAAAUCUCAGGAGAUGCACUUGCAGGAACAUUUGCCAUUCCUUUGUCCAGGAGGGCUGCAGAGAAAAUACUGGUGAGAGUUUUAUGUCUUACAAGCUGCUUCACUUGUCCCUGGUAUUGACAGUUGGGGCCUCUGUCCACCUCUGUUUCUGCUUUUUGUAAUACUUCUAUGGGCAAAGGGUGUGUGCCCCUCCUGUCUGUUAUGGGCUGUGUUCCAAGGAUAGCUUGGGUUUUCUGUUUCCUCAGUCCAAUACCUACAUUUGCUGCUUUAGCCUCAUUGUCCGCCAUUGUCACAGGGCUUCCAAGCCUUCUUGGACUUAAUACCAAGUGUGUGGAGAAAAAGACAAGGAAGGAGGAAGGUUCCCUGUCCCAUUUCUCUUGUCUCUGGUCCUGAUUACAGGGCUGUGGUAGUUGUUAUCCAGCUGCAGCAAACAGCCAGGUUCUGAGGAGUGUUGUCUGCAUCUGUGGAAAUGAAAGAGGAUUCGUGUCUCUGCAGAUCUGCUCUUAACUACUAUGUAACUGGUGGCUUUCUUUUAGAGAGGUGCAUGUCUGUCCAGCAGGCGCACACAUCUGAGUGAAACCCCACAGAACUUGCAUGCAGGAGAGGUAGUGCAGAAAUAUGGAGGCUGGAGUCUGCUUUUGAGCUCUGCAAAUGAAGCACCGUGGGUGCUCAGCUGGGAUAUUUUCCUUUUAACACCGUUCAUUUAUUGAGGUCUUAGCUGCCAGUUCCCAUAUUGCAAAGAUGAGAUUAAGACAGAAGCUGUCUCCAAGGAGAGUCAAGCAGAAGACACAGCUGAAGAUGUCGAUGUUGAUGUGGUUGGUCCAGACCAGGACAGUUAAGACACCGAUAGGAUAAAUGGAAGUGAAGAACACGCUACCGAUUUUUUUUCUGCAAAUUGUUUAACUGAAAGUGGGGUUGUGGCGGCAUCAACCAAGGCAGCAGGAGACGUGUAUCAAGGCAGAUCUCUGCCUGUAGGCACCCACCCAGAACCAGUUACUAGCACUGCUUUCUCCACACUGCUGUGCGUGGGGGUUGCUGACUUGGCUGUUGUGCUUCUAAGGCUGUGGGCAUUAUGAACGUCGUUACUCAACUGUAUCCUGGUCCUUGAUUCCGCCUUGGAAAAAUUCCCAACCUAAGGACUGGAAUCAGAGUAUUGACAAAUACAGAGUCAAAACCUCUGAUGAGACAAGCUUGCUGACAUCGGCGCAGGGGCAGUGCCCUGCUGGAGGGAUUCUUUACCGUUUGAGAGGACCAAGAUGGGUGUCUGUCUACUUGUUUCCUUGUACCUGAUGCCAGGGAGGAAGGAGCCCGGCCCAGAUGUGAACGCUGUGACCUGCUGGGAGAUGCAGUGGCACUUGGCAGUGCCAUUUCCUGCCUGUAAAAUGGAAACCCUGGAACAAAUCAUCUGGAAGUAUUUCUACAUCCUAGUGCUUACAGAGACACAGUUAGAGGUCUGCAGGGAUGAGGAUGUGUUCCCAGGAGGCUUGCAUCACGGCUUCUAAGUAAGAAAGAAAGAAACAGCAGACCGGUUGACUUAGUAUUUUCCUCUGGAAGAAAUCCUUCAUGCAGUGAUCACAUGGUAUUUACUUGGAAAACAGAAAACCUGAAAAGACAAUGUAAAUAGACUGUAAAUACGGCCCUUCGAAAUAGGUUUUUUUCAGUUAAGAAUUUGCAAAUGAUCUUCACUCAGUAUUUCAGAGGCAGUAGGCUUGGGAGUCCUGGCUGCUUUCGCUGACCCUUUGGCACUGCUCCAUGGAAUUGUACGUUGCAUUAAUCCUAUCAUCAGCUUUCAUUUUUUAUAUAUAUAUAUAUAUAUUUUGGAUGAUAACACUGUAAAAUAAACUACAGAACUAUUGCUA
Molecule: RNA transcript, 5539 nt
Organism: Falco peregrinus (peregrine falcon)
Lineage: Eukaryota; Metazoa; Chordata; Aves; Falconiformes; Falconidae
Gene name: cohesin subunit SA-2-like
Exons: 33
Source: RefSeq, a predicted model, not a curated record